GCCCAGCCAGUAUGGUGACUAUGACCCUCGGCUUGCAACCGAGUGGGUUCGGGUUCGAAUCCCGAGUAGGACA
Molecule: transfer RNA, 73 nt
Filed under: Trichonephila inaurata madagascariensis
Lineage: Eukaryota; Metazoa; Arthropoda; Arachnida; Araneae; Nephilidae
Rfam family: tRNA
About the family: Transfer RNA (tRNA) molecules are approximately 80 nucleotides in length. Their secondary structure includes four short double-helical elements and three loops (D, anti-codon, and T loops). Further hydrogen bonds mediate the characteristic L-shaped molecular structure. tRNAs have two regions of fundamental functional importance: the anti-codon, which is responsible for specific mRNA codon recognition, and the 3' end, to which the tRNAs corresponding amino acid is attached (by aminoacyl-tRNA synthetases). tRNAs cope with the degeneracy of the genetic code in two manners: having more than one tRNA (with a specific anti-codon) for a particular amino acid; and 'wobble' base-pairing, i.e. permitting non-standard base-pairing at the 3rd anti-codon position.
Source: Rfam by way of RNAcentral